This 497-nucleotide ribosomal RNA is filed under the name uncultured bacterium. RNAcentral describes it as "partial 16S ribosomal RNA". It matches the Rfam family "Bacterial small subunit ribosomal RNA", at positions 28 to 507 of the family's 1533-position model. The record is from RNAcentral.
GAUGAACGCUGGCGGCGUGCCUAAUACAUGCAAGUCGAGCGAACAGAUGAGGAGCUUGCUCCUCUGACGUUAGCGGCGGACGGGUGAGUAACACGUGGAUAACCUACCUAUAAGACUGGGAUAACUACGGGAAACCGGAGCUAAUACCGGAUAAUAUAUUGAACCGCAUGGUUCAAUAGUGAAAGACGGUUUUGCUGUCACUUAUAGAUGGAUCCGCGCCGCAUUAGCUAGUUGGUAAGGUAACGGCUUACCAAGGCAACGAUGCGUGGCCGACCUGAGAGGGUGAUCGGCCACACUGGAACUGAGACACGGUCCAGACUCCUACGGGAGGCAGCAGUAGGGAAUCUUCCGCAAUGGGCGAAAGCCUGGCGGAGCAACGCCGCGUGAGUGAUGAAGGUCUUCGGAUCGUAAAACUCUGUUAUUAGGGAAGAACAAAUGUGUAAGUAACUAUGCACGUCUUGACGGUACCUAAUCAGAAAGCCACGGCUAACUACGUG